Molecule: ribosomal RNA, 154 nt
Filed under: Cerioporus squamosus
Lineage: Eukaryota; Fungi; Basidiomycota; Agaricomycetes; Polyporales; Polyporaceae
Description: 5.8S ribosomal RNA
Rfam family: 5.8S ribosomal RNA
About the family: 5.8S ribosomal RNA (5.8S rRNA) is a component of the large subunit of the eukaryotic ribosome. It is transcribed by RNA polymerase I as part of the 45S precursor that also contains 18S and 28S rRNA.
Source: RNAcentral
AACUUUCAGCAACGGAUCUCUUGGCUCUCGCAUCGAUGAAGAACGCAGCGAAAUGCGAUAAGUAAUGUGAAUUGCAGAAUUCAGUGAAUCAUCGAAUCUUUGAACGCACCUUGCGCUCCUUGGUAUUCCGAGGAGCACACCUGUUUGAGUGUCA